Molecule: long non-coding RNA, 1273 nt
Organism: Leucoraja erinaceus (little skate)
Lineage: Eukaryota; Metazoa; Chordata; Chondrichthyes; Rajiformes; Rajidae
Exons: 4
Source: RefSeq, a predicted model, not a curated record
CUAUACAAGGAGAGGGAGAAAAGCAGUGGAUAGACCUGCACUCUGAAUAAACAUCUAAAACUAAUGCAGGAUUACGGAAUCAUAUAACCAUAUAACAAUUACAGCACGGAAACAGGCCAUCUCGGCCCCGCAAGUCAGUGCCGAACAAUUAUUUUCCCCUAGUCCCAUCCUGCACAAUUUUUACAGAGAUUUUCAAACAAAAUGAUUUUUCACUGGAUCUCGCUACACAUGAUAGUAAUAAACCUACUCCCGAAUAGAAACAUAGAAAAUAGGUGCAGGAGUAGGCCAUUCGGCCCUUCGAGCCUGCACCGCCAUUCAAUAUGAUCAUGGCUGAACAUCCAACUCAGUAUCCCGUACCUGCCUUCUCUCCAUACCCCCUAAUCCCCUUAGCCACAUCUAACUUCCUCUUAAAUAUAGCCCAUGAACUGGCCUCAACUACCUUCCGUGGCAGAGAAUUCCAGAUAUUCACCACUCUCUGUGUGAAAAUUGUUUUUCUCAUCUCAGUCCUAAAAGACUUCCCCCUUAGCCUUAAACUGUGACCCCUUGUUCUGGACUUCCCCAAAAUCCUUUUGCUAUGACUUGGUGGGCACGUGUAUGUCCUUUCCUCUCUCUGACAAAAUGACAACAAAUUGAAAAUUUUCGUGAAUGUUUCUGAUGUUGUUGGGGUGAAAUUAAAAAAAGCACAGAAUGGAAAUAGCAAAUGUAAAAUCAGAAUGCCGAUCUCACUUCACACCCUACAUUAUUUAUCCUGAAUUGGCCCUUCCUCUCGUUAUCACAUUUCCACGGGGCUGGGAAGUCAGAGACGAUCAGCAGAGGGUUGGAACCUUUCCCUCUCAGCCUUCUAUUCUUCUGUUCCAUCUGACGUACUCAGCCAGGCUUGGAACUUGACAUCAAAUGAUCCCAUGACCCGGGGGGAUCGUUCUGCGGGCAGAAACCAUGGAGCUGGAUGUCAUCGGAGAGACCAUCAGUGCAACGUGCCCUGACCAGCAGAGUGUGGAAGUGAAGGGGAGAAAGGAGAGCAGACAAGGUCGAAGAUCAGAAGCUGCCAGAGGAUGUCAUCGGCCUUUUGUCAUCUCCUUUCUCCUGGGCCUCUCCAUUCUGCUGUCUGCAGGCAUUCUCAUUGCUGGAGUCUUUCUAUAUACUGAACACAGCGUGCGGCCGGAGAGCAACUCACGUUACAGUGGAAUUAUAAUCGGUUCCAUCUACCCAGCGCCAGUCACCUUCAGAGGCCCAAUCACUCAGGCCAAUCCACCGACGGACAUUAAAUCUUUUC